CCUACGGGAGGCAGCAGUGGGGGAUAUUGCACAAUGGGGGAAACCCUGAUGCAGCGACGCCGCGUGUGGGAAGACGGUCCUCUGAAUUGUAAACCACUGUCCCCAGGGACGAAGAUGACGGUACCUGGGGAGGAAGCUCCGGCUAACUACGUACCAGCAGCCGCGGUAAUACGUAGGGACCGAGCGUUUUCCGGAAUUACUGGGGUUACAGGGAUCGUAGGCGGGGAUGCAAGUUGGGUGUCAAAACUACCGGCUAAACUGGUAGUCGCACUCAAAACUGCAGCUCUUGAGUGAAGUAGAGGCAGGCGGAAUUCCUAGUGUAGCGGUGAAAUGCGUAGAUAUUAGGAGGAACACCAGUGGCGAAGGCGGCCUGCUGGGCUUUUACUGACGCUGAGGCUCGAAAGUGUGGGGAGCAAACAGGAUUAGAUACCCGGGUAGUC
Molecule: ribosomal RNA, 440 nt
Filed under: uncultured bacterium
Lineage: Bacteria
Description: partial 16S ribosomal RNA
Rfam family: Bacterial small subunit ribosomal RNA
Source: RNAcentral